GACGGGACCCGCACAAGCGGUGGAUGAUGUGGAUUAAUUCGAUGCAACGCGAAAAACCUUACCUACCCUUGACAUGUACGGAACCCUGCUGAAAGGUGGGGUGCUCGAAAGAGAGCCGUAACACAGGUGCUGCAUGGCUGUCGUCAGCUCGUGUCGUGAGAUGUUGGGUUAAGUCCCGCAACGAGCGCAACCCUUGUCAUUAGUUGCUACGAAAGGGCACUCUAAUGAGACUGCCGGUGACAAACCGGAGGAAGGUGGGGAUGACGUCAAGUCCUCAUGGCCCUUAUGGGUAGGGCUUCACACGUCAUACAAUGGUACAUACAGAGGGCUGCCAACCCGCGAGGGGGAGCUAAUCCCAGAAAGUGUAUCGUAGUCCGGAUUGUAGUCUGCAACUCGACUACAUGAAGUUGGAAUCGCUAGUAAUCGCGGAUCAGCAUGUCGCGGUGAAUACGUUCCCGGGUCUU
Molecule: ribosomal RNA, 464 nt
Filed under: uncultured Paucimonas sp.
Lineage: Bacteria; Pseudomonadati; Pseudomonadota; Betaproteobacteria; Burkholderiales; Burkholderiaceae
Description: bacterial SSU rRNA
Rfam family: Bacterial small subunit ribosomal RNA
Source: RNAcentral